GAUGAACGCUGGCGGCGUGCCUAAUACAUGCAAGUCGAGCGAACAGACGAGGAGCUUGCUCCUCUGACGUUAGCGGCGGACGGGUGAGUAACACGUGGAUAACCUACCUAUAAGACUGGGAUAACUUCGGGAAACCGGAGCUAAUACCGGAUAAUAUAUUGAACCGCAUGGUUCAAUAGUGAAAGACGGUUUUGCUGUCACUUAUAGAUGGAUCCGCGCCGCAUUAGCUAGUUGGUAAGGUAACGGCUUACCAAGGCAACGAUGCGUAGCCGACCUGAGAGGAUGAUCGGCCACACUGGAACUGAGACACGGUCCAGACUCCUACGGGAGGCAGCAGUAGGGAAUCUCCCGCAAUGGGCGAAAGCUUGACGGAGCAACGCCGCGUGAGUGAUGAAGGUCUUCGGAUCGUAAAACUCUGUUAUUAGGGAAGAACAAAUGUGUAAGUAACUAUGCACGUCUUGACGGUACCUAAUCAGAAAGCCACGGCUAACUACGUG
This 497-nucleotide ribosomal RNA is filed under the name uncultured bacterium. Its description in RNAcentral is "partial 16S ribosomal RNA". It matches the Rfam family "Bacterial small subunit ribosomal RNA", at positions 28 to 507 of the family's 1533-position model. The record is from RNAcentral.